RNAcentral lists this long non-coding RNA (575 nucleotides) under Marmota monax (woodchuck). Lineage: Eukaryota; Metazoa; Chordata; Mammalia; Rodentia; Sciuridae. The record is from RNAcentral.
GUCACAUUGUGCACAUUUUUCAAAUUGUGAUUCUCUCACCUCUAUUCUUAAAGAGUCCCAGGUCAGACUUUGAAUUCUCAGCCAGACCAUUGCCCUUGCCUUAAUCUAGUGCUCCCUAAUUUCUGGCCAUAAUAACUCCUACCCCUUACAGUCCCUGUGGCUCCCUCAACAAAAAGUUUUAAGUUACCAGACUAAUAUUUGUGACUCUGCUGAUUUCUCCUACCACAUCUUGUGUAACUGAAUGUCCUCAAGACCACCCUCAGGCUCAGUGAUUCACUACAAUUCACCAAGCUCAGCAAAGCUGUUAUACUUGUGGCCAGUUUUUUACAGCAAGAGGCCACAAACUAAAAUCAGCCAAGGGGAGAGGUGCAUAGGUGUGAAGCACAAGCUUCCCGGUGUUGCUCCUUUUGGAGUUCAUGGACAGCAUUUAGUGUUCCCGGCAACAACAUGUGGCAGCACAUGUGGAGUACAGGUGCUGUUUGACUUAACAUGAUGCUGUGUCCUGAGAAAAUCCAUCAUAAGUUGAAAAUGGAUGAAGUAUGCCUAACCUGAACAAGCUGGUUUAGCUGCACUGC